Molecule: long non-coding RNA, 542 nt
Organism: Papaver somniferum (opium poppy)
Lineage: Eukaryota; Viridiplantae; Streptophyta; Magnoliopsida; Ranunculales; Papaveraceae
Exons: 3
Source: RefSeq, a predicted model, not a curated record
UUUCUUCCUUCUUCUCUCUUUCUCAUAUUCCAUUUUCCUCCGCUCAAAACCAACAGAGAGAAAUCGAGUGAGGAAGUAGAGAAAAACGAAGAUACAAAGCCUCUCUUUAUCAAAGCCAGAUCCAUACCUGAAUCGACCGAAAAUCUGCUUUAAACCUGCUAGAGUUCUCUUCUUAUUAUAAUUCCAACUAGGGCUCUCUUAUUAUUCUAAUUCCAAACCCUAAAUCGACCAAAAAUUGUCUUAAGCAUGUUACCAGAGAUGAAUACCCGUUUUUACUGAGUUUGAAUAACCUAAUCUCAGAAGAAGAUUGAGCUACAAAUACCUAGAAGAUUCAGAUAAGAUUCAGAUUUGCACAGAUGGAGCAAAGUCGAGAGAGCACUAGUACUAAAAAUUUUCAGAAAAAAGAAUUCUGCAAUAUGAAAUGCAGGGAUGCUGGGAUGGAUAUUAUACAUGGGAAAAUGGAUAGUUAUUAUGCUUAUUCGAACUGACAGGGGUUGAUGGGUGUCGUAGGCUCAACAAAUAAAUAAUCUUAUUUCCACACA